RNAcentral lists this ribosomal RNA (261 nucleotides) under uncultured archaeon. RNAcentral describes it as "partial 16S ribosomal RNA". It matches the Rfam family "Archaeal small subunit ribosomal RNA", at positions 748 to 1009 of the family's 1478-position model. The record is from RNAcentral.
CAGCCGUAAACUAUGCUCGCUAGGUGUCAGGGACGGUGCGACCGUUUCUGGUGCCGCAGGGAAGCCGUGAAGCGAGCCACCUGGGAAGUACGGUCGCAAGGCUGAAACUUAAAGGAAUUGGCGGGGGAGCACUACAACGGGUGGAGCCUGCGGUUUAAUUGGAUUCAACGCCGGAAAUCUUACCGGGACCGACAGCAACAUGAAGGCCAGGCUGAAGACUUUGCCGGAUUAGCUGAGAGGUGGUGCAUGGCGUAGUCGUGU